UUUUCUACGAUCGUAACUUCUGACCGAAUUCGAAUUAUUUUACUACCGUUCGUGGCGUCAUCUGAAAGAGCGUUCUUUUGUUUUCAAAAAGAGUCGCGAGGAGCGCUCUAAGAGUUUCCAGUGCUAUGCAACAAUAUGGCGCGCGAGAAGCGUCGUUUGCGUCACCGCUUACUUUUCACGUUCCAUCAUAGAAAAUCGGUUGUUAAAGCUAUUGAAACGGUUUACGUUCCAUUGGGAGAGAACGUAUCUUAGGGAACGUAUGAAAAGUGGUACCAAAGAUUUAAAGCCGGAAAUUUUAAUUUGGAAGACGAUAAUCAGGUUCAGGCGCAUCGAGAAAGUUCGACGACGGUGAAUCAGAGGAAUCGCUCGACGAAAAUCCAAUCCAGACGCGAGAAGAAUCGGUAGAAGUGAUCAGACUGAAACAAUUGGGUAAUCUUGUACUUGAUUUGUAUAUUAAAAUCUUGAAUUUGGAAAAAAAAAGGAAGAAUUUAUUCGCAUACAUACAUAUAUAAUUUGCCUCCCACGGCGAUUUCUCUUGUCGAGUCGUCCUCGCGUGGCACGCGUGCGCGCAGAUAAGAACGAUUAUAUAGGCACGCUCGUUAUUCCGAGCAACCGGCUCACGCUCGAAUAAUAAUAGCGCGGUGAAACGACAAACGUCUUAUCGCUCAAGCGUUUAAAUAUAAACGCCCUUGCUUCCUCGAUCUCUCCAAUUAAUCGAGCGGAUUGUUGAACGCGUUAAUGCGUGGCCGUGUACUUUCUGCUACUGAAACUAAUCACGCCGGAUACGUCCGAUUUAAAUUGCAUGCAACGGUUCUCAACUUGCAAAUCGUGAAAUUAAUGCAUAUAUGUAUGUAUUUGGUAUAACACGAAAGGCGAUUUUUCUUAGUAUCGUGAGAGAGAUAUUGUCGUCGAUUCGUUUCCCGAGAAUGGCCGACUUGCAACGCAUUUCAAAAACAGUGACAUUAUUGUCGGCAAGAAGGGAGUGGUGUGGUGUGAGGGGAAGAAUGGUCAAUUGAAAAUGUGAAGAAGAAGAAGAAGAAGAAGAAGAAUAAAGUUUUUUUCCGUUGACACUUCGUUUCCGAGAGAAUUGAAUUGAAAAGCGAGCCGGUGUCCGACCGAUCGUUGGCUCGUUCCACUCGUAUGUCCGAUUAAUCGUUGAUCACGGCAUAGUUUCGAAAAAUAUUGAAAAACGUCAUAUGUGUACGAGACACAACAGAGAGAGAGAGAGAGAAAGAGGAAGAGAGAUUAAACAGGAAAACGGGCAGUUUGCUCCACCAGUGACUCGUUUUUUCGUGCAAUUCUUAUUCCAUCCCAAACGAAUCCGUUUUUGCUCCGUCGCCUUUCAUUUUUUUCAACGCCACCUCGCGGGAUGAAAAAUUCGAGAUCGAGGGGAACCAUCUUGGGAUUGAAAUGGGCGCCGCCAUUACCGAUUGGAAGUAUGGAAGGUCGAAUGUUCGCGCCUAAAAUAACGUAUCCUUUCUAAAAGAAAUAAGAAAAAGAGAGCUCGAUGAUGGAGGGGAGGUGAGGAGAGAUCGAAAGUUGGACGGUUGGAGGACAACAGUGCGUUUAAAUAGAGCGAGAAUCGUCUGGGGAAAUAUGGCGCGUGAUGGAAAGCUUGGUAUUUUGAAUUAGAGAGGGGGAUUUAUUCUUUAGAAAAUUCUACGUGAAUGAUAGUGGAUCUGGAGUUUCUUUUCGAAUUUCUUUUCCACGACGAAUAAUCUCUUCCCAGUCUUUCGAAAAUUCGAUAUUCAGAAUACGUCACGUCUUCGAUUGCCGAUAUUUCUGUAAUUUCAUUCGCACAGCCUUUUGUCCCUCUUCUUUCAAUCGUUCCUGGCUCACGCGUUUUCACGUUUCAAGUUGAUAUAUGUAUAAAUAUGUUAUAUCGUAUACUCGUGUUAGAUGUUCGUCGAUCUCAUCGAAUCGAAAUAUUGAAAGACGAUCGAUACUUCGGCGAGCAAUGUUUAACUGUGAUAUUUUUGUUAAUAUCAAAUAAUUAUAUAUCGCUUAUAUAUCACUAAAAUAAAAAAUAAAACAUGAAAAAAAGAAAUGUUUUAAAAUAUCGCUUCGGUAAUAUAAUUUAAAAUUAGAACGUAUAUUUUUCUUAUCACUGAUUAUAAAAUGCAUCCUGUUUUGUCCUGGUACAAGAUAAAAGUUUAAAAUCUCAUUUUGAUCCUCUUUCCAAAGUAUAUUUUCGUCAACUUUCUCUAAUAUGCUUUCUAUUUUUUCCAGCUUCUCGAGAAAAAGGCGCAUUCAACGAAAUGUUGACGAAUAUAGCGACGAAGUUUCAGUAUAAAUUUUGGAUUUCUGUUAUAACAACUUAACGAUCGGCUGUGCCAAAAGAGUAAGUUGAAGGAUUAAUUUUUAAAUUUUUGUUCCUGGAAAACCAGUUAAACAUUUCUGUAUAAAUCGCAAGGGGAAGAAACAUGGAGGAUCUCGACGAGGGAGAAAAAGUUAAUCAGUCUUCCUUUUCUUCUAUCCAAGAGCGCGGUGACAAUCGAAGAUUAAUCGAACUGGUGGUAGAAGAGAAAGAAAGUGGAUCAGAAUGUUGCGUGAUAAACACGAGCCUUUCGAAAGCCUUUUCUCGAACGAGAGGGAAAAAACAUUUCCAUCCGCUGUUGAGAAAGCACAUAACGAAUAACGAGAAAAUAAGCGAGAAUUAAUUAAAGAGAAGAUGAUGGAAGGCGAGAGAUAAAAACUAGGAUAACAGAGAGAUAAGAAAAAAUGAGUAAAGCAGAUAGGAAGCGAAAAAUCGAGGGGGGGGGGAAUUCAUCCUUGCCUUUCAUUCCUUAUCUCGCGGAAAAUAAAGGGGUCAGUCUGUUUGCUCGAGAAAGCGUGUAUACACGCCACGGUUACAGAGUGAAAAAAUUACGUAUCCAACUCGAGGCAGAGGAAAUAAAAAUGGAAAAGAAGGAACCAUUACUAACUAAGGAAAGAUUCGUGAAAACUGAUCGAACGGUUGAUCAAAGAAGAAGAAAGAGAGAGAACAGGUGCAGGUCGCGAUAAACGGUAUUCGUUAAACGAGGCUACGCCCCGAGUUAAUUGCUUAAGUGUCGGAAUCGGUUUACGUAGAGUCGAGAAGCGCUAUCUAGAAAUUCCAACGCAGCCUUGUCCGAAAGACGACCGCCAGGAUACAUCGCGUGGAAUAAUCGAAAACGAUCCAUCUACAUCAGUAGAUUACCCCGUGUAUACCUUGUUCCACCGUGUAUAACACGGAUACCGAGAUUACAUUUGUUCGUUUCGAAGACGCAGAGCGGACGUUUGUGAAACGUUAAAGGCGAUUUUGCGCGCGUGAGGUGGUGAAAGUAGUAGCGUGGAAAGUGGAAGUUUUUUCACGGGUGCAGGUUUGAUUUUUAAUUUCCAUCGAACGUGACAAUGGUAGUUCGUUAGUUGUUGAUUAUUGCUUGAUUAAAUCGCGUGUCUUUUAAAUCUGAGAAAUUAUUUAUUAUUUUGUUAAGGAAAAUACGUGUCUACGAUUAUUCUAUUUCAUGUUAUUUGUGUGGAAAAUGUUUCUUUUACACGUAUACUCGU
Molecule: long non-coding RNA, 3528 nt
Organism: Apis florea (little honeybee)
Lineage: Eukaryota; Metazoa; Arthropoda; Insecta; Hymenoptera; Apidae
Source: RefSeq, a predicted model, not a curated record